GGUUCGCCGCCCGCGACACUGCGAGAAGUCCAUUGAACCUUAUCAUUUAGAGGAAGGAGAAGUCGUAACAAGGUUUCCGUAGGUGAACCUGCGGAAGGAUCAUUG
RNAcentral lists this ribosomal RNA (105 nucleotides) under Polystachya pubescens. RNAcentral's name for it is "partial 18S ribosomal RNA". It matches the Rfam family "Eukaryotic small subunit ribosomal RNA", at positions 1727 to 1831 of the family's 1831-position model. The record is from RNAcentral. RNAcentral also lists the same sequence under 6 other names. Lineage: Eukaryota; Viridiplantae; Streptophyta; Magnoliopsida; Asparagales; Orchidaceae.